AGAAGAAGCAGUCAGAGGGUGGAGAAGCGUUUUGACAUGGCAGACAGACCUUUUGAUGAUCCACCACAGAUUUUCAAUGGGGCUCAUGUCUGGGGAUUGAGCUGGCCAUUCUAAGACCUGGAUACAGUGUUCCUGCAGCCAAGUUCUGCUGGCCCUGGAUGUGUGGCAAGGGGCAUUAUCUUGUUGAAACAUUCAGUUUUGACAUCGAUGGAACAGUGCACGUACAGAAGGGAGCAUGUGGGUUUCGAGAAUGGCACAAUACUUGGCAGAGUUCAAUGUGCUAUCACAGACAGUGAGAUGGCCAACACCAGCAGCACUUAUGCAUCCCCAAACCAUGAUAAUGCCUCCACCAUGCUUGACAGUAGGGGCUUCUUGACAGCCUUGUAGGACACCAGUUUGGUUUGAACACUGCUGCUGAAGCUCCUGUGAUGUCAUUCAGCGAUUUUCCCUGCACAUGUGGAUCAGGAUGUGGUUAUUUCUUGCUGAAGAAAUCCUUGGAUGCCCAGAUCUUGGUUUGUCUUCCAAGCUGUUGGUUCAUCAGUAUUUCUGCAGAGUGUAUCUAACUGCUGAAGGGCUGCAUCUGCACUUCCUGGCUAUCUGGCGGGAGUUGUACCCUUCCUGGCUGAGAAUCUGUAUCUUCAGGCGUGUUUCUUGCAUUAGGUUUCUUGUUUUAGCCAUUUUUGUCCCCUGAAGAACUUUCAAAUGUGCUGGCAACAAAAAUUGUGUCUUAAUAAAAAGCAUGACCUUCAUUAGUGGAUCACUGGUACCAAAAUGACCCAAUACUCAAAAUUGCUUAUGUAUUUUUAUAGAACCAAUCAAUUUUAAGCUUUUAAUUGCUUUUUUAGGAUUUGUUUAGUAUUUUGGCUGUGACUGUACUAAAAGAAAUUG
Lates calcarifer (barramundi perch) is the source of this 888-nucleotide long non-coding RNA. RefSeq lists it as uncharacterized. The record is from RefSeq and is a predicted model, not a curated record. Lineage: Eukaryota; Metazoa; Chordata; Actinopteri; Centropomidae. The transcript is spliced from 3 exons.